RNAcentral lists this ribosomal RNA (484 nucleotides) under uncultured bacterium. Its description in RNAcentral is "partial 16S ribosomal RNA". It matches the Rfam family "Bacterial small subunit ribosomal RNA", at positions 29 to 507 of the family's 1533-position model. The record is from RNAcentral.
AUUGAACGCUGGCGGCAUGCUUUACACAUGCAAGUCGAACGGCAGCGCGGGCUUCGGCCUGGCGGCGAGUGGCGAACGGGUGAGUAAUGCAUCGGAACGUGCCCAGCAGUGGGGGAUAGCCCGGCGAAAUCCGGAUUAAUACCGCAUACGACCUGAGGGUGAAAGCGGGGGACCGAAAGGCCUCGCGCCAUUGGAGCGGCCGAUGUCGGAUUAGCUAGUUGGUGGGGUAAAGGCUUACCAAGGCGACGAUCCGUAGCUGGUCUGAGAGGACGACCAGCCACACUGGGACUGAGACACGGCCCAGACUCCUACGGGAGGCAGCAGUGGGGAAUUUUGGACAAUGGGGGCAACCCUGAUCCAGCCAUGCCGCGUGCGGGAAGAAGGCCUUCGGGUUGUAAACCGCUUUUGUUCGGGAAGAAAUCCUAUGGGCUAAUACCCCGGGGGGAUGACGGUACCGGAAGAAUAAGCACCGGCUAACUACGUG